AGUGAACGCUGGCGGUAGGCCUAACACAUGCAAGUCGAACGGCAGCACAGGAGAGCUUGCUCUCUGGGUGGCGAGUGGCGGACGGGUGAGGAAUACAUCGGAAUCUACUUUUUCGUGGGGGAUAACGUAGGGAAACUUACGCUAAUACCGCAUACGACCUACGGGUGAAAGCAGGGGAUCUUCGGACCUUGCGCGAUUGAAUGAGCCGAUGUCGGAUUAGCUAGUUGGCGGGGUAAAGGCCCACCAAGGCGACGAUCCGUAGCUGGUCUGAGAGAAUGAUCAGCCACCCUGGAACUGAGACACGGUCCAGACUCCUACGGGAGGCAGCAGUGGGGAAUAUUGGACAAUGGGCGCAAGCCUGAUCCAGCCAUACCGCGUGGGUGAAGAAGGCCUUCGGGUUGUAAAGCCCUUUUGUUGGGAAAGAAAUCCAGCUGGUUAAUACCCGGUUGGGAUGACGGUACCCAAAGAAUAAGCACCGGCUAACUUCGUGCCAGCCGCCGCAGUAA
This 506-nucleotide ribosomal RNA is filed under the name uncultured bacterium. RNAcentral's name for it is "partial 16S ribosomal RNA". It matches the Rfam family "Bacterial small subunit ribosomal RNA", at positions 29 to 523 of the family's 1533-position model. The record is from RNAcentral.